Non-coding RNA from Ictidomys tridecemlineatus (thirteen-lined ground squirrel), 73 nucleotides. The record is from Rfam. NCBI's taxonomy places the organism in Eukaryota, Metazoa, Chordata, Mammalia, Rodentia, Sciuridae.
GGGGUUGUGGCUCAGUGGUAGAGUGCUUGCCUAGCCACGUGCGAAGCCCUGGGUUCGAUCCUCAGCAACCAUA